GAUGAACGCUGGCGGCGUGCCUAAUACAUGCAAGUCGAGCGAACGGACGAGAAGCUUGCUCUCCUGAUGUUAGCGGCGGACGGGUGAGUAACACGUGGAUAACCUACCUCUAAGACUGGGAUAACUUCGGGAAACCGUAGCUAAUACUGGCUAAUAUUUUGAACCGCAUGGUUCAAAAGUGAAUGACGGUCUUGCUGUCACUUAUAGAUGGAUCCGCGCUGCAUUAGCUAGUUGGUAAGGUAACGGCUUACCAAGGCAACGUUGCAUAGCCGACCUGAGAGGGGGAUCGGCCACACUGGAACGGGGACACGGCCCAGACUCCUACGGGAGGCAGCAGUAGGAAAUCUGCCGCAAUGGGCGAAAGCCUGACGGAGCAACGCCGCGGGAGUGAUGAAGGUCUCGGAUCGUAAAACUCUGUUAUUAGGGAAGAACAUAUGUGUAAGUAACUGUGCACAUCUUGACGGUACCUAAUCAGAAAGCCACGGCUAACUACGUG
RNAcentral lists this ribosomal RNA (496 nucleotides) under uncultured bacterium. Its description in RNAcentral is "partial 16S ribosomal RNA". It matches the Rfam family "Bacterial small subunit ribosomal RNA", at positions 28 to 507 of the family's 1533-position model. The record is from RNAcentral.